AGGUGGUGCAUGGUUGUCGUCAGCUCGUGUCGUGAGAUGUUGGGUUAAGUCCCGCAACGAGCGCAACCCUUAAGCUUAGUUGCCAUCAUUAAGUUGGGCACUCUAAGUUGACUGCCGGUGACAAACCGGAGGAAGGUGGGGAUGACGUCAAAUCAUCAUGCCCCUUAUGAUUUGGGCUACACACGUGCUACAAUGGACAAUACAAAGGGCAGCGAAACCGCGAGGUCAAGCAAAUCCCAUAAAGUUGUUCUCAGUUCGGAUUGUAGUCUGCAACUCGACUACAUGAAGCUGGAAUCGCUAGUAAUCGUAGAUCAGC
Molecule: ribosomal RNA, 316 nt
Filed under: Staphylococcus aureus
Lineage: Bacteria; Bacillati; Bacillota; Bacilli; Caryophanales; Staphylococcaceae
Description: bacterial SSU rRNA
Rfam family: Bacterial small subunit ribosomal RNA
Source: RNAcentral